RNAcentral lists this ribosomal RNA (465 nucleotides) under uncultured bacterium. Its description in RNAcentral is "partial 16S ribosomal RNA". It matches the Rfam family "Bacterial small subunit ribosomal RNA", at positions 28 to 507 of the family's 1533-position model. The record is from RNAcentral.
GACGAACGCUGGCGGCGUGCUUAACACAUGCAAGUCGAACGGAAAGGCCCUGCUUGCAGGGUACUCGAGUGGCGAACGGGUGAGUAACACGUGGGUGAUCUGCCCUGCACUUCGGGAUAAGCCUGGGAAACUGGGUCUAAUACCGGAUAUGACCUUCCGUGUAGUGUGGGGGGUGGAAAGAUUUAUCGGUGUGGGAUGAGCCCGCGGCCUAUCAGCUUGUUGGUGGGGUAAUGGCCUACCAAGGCGUCGACGGGUAGCCGGCCUGAGAGGGUGGACGGCCACAUUGGGACUGAGGUACGGCCCAGACUCCUACGGGAGGCAGCAGUGGGGAAUAUUGCACAAUGGGCGGAAGCCUGAUGCAGCGACGCCGCGUGGGGGAUGACGGCCUUCGGGUUGUAAACCUCUUUCGACAGGGACGAAGCUUCGGUGACGGUACCUGUAUAAGAAGCACCGGCUAACUACGUG